Molecule: unclassified non-coding RNA, 284 nt
Organism: Macaca fascicularis (crab-eating macaque)
Lineage: Eukaryota; Metazoa; Chordata; Mammalia; Primates; Cercopithecidae
Rfam family: Metazoan signal recognition particle RNA
About the family: The signal recognition particle (SRP) is a universally conserved ribonucleoprotein.
Source: Ensembl
GCUGGGCGUGGUGGUGCAUGCCUGUAAUCCUAGCUACUUAGGAGGCUGAGGCAAGAGAAUUGCUUAAACCUGGGAGGCGGAGAUUGUAGUGAGCCGAGAUCGUGCCAUUGCACUCCAGCCUGGGCAACAAAAGCAAAACUCUGUCUCAAAAAAAAAGAAAAAAGAAGAGUGUGUGUUUGUUUAGACGGAGUCUGGCUGUUGUUGGCCCAGGCUGGAGUGCAAUGGCGCUAUCUCGGCUUACUGCAACCUCCGCCUCCCAGGUUCCAGCCACUAUCCUGCCUAAG